UACGUAGGAGGCGAGCGUUGUCCGGAUUUACUGGGCGUAAAGCGCGCGCAGGCGGCACACUAAGUACGAUGUGAAAUCUCCCUGCUCAACGGGGAGGGUGCAUAGUAAACUGGUGAGCUAGAGGACGGUAGAGGGGGGGUGGAAUUGCUGGUGUAGCGGUGAAAUGCGUAGAGAUCAGCAGGAACACCCGUGGCGAAGGCGGCCCCCUGGGCCGAACCUGACGCUGAGGCGCGAAGGCUAGGGGAGCGAACGGG
This 254-nucleotide ribosomal RNA is filed under the name uncultured bacterium. RNAcentral describes it as "partial 16S ribosomal RNA". It matches the Rfam family "Bacterial small subunit ribosomal RNA", at positions 524 to 776 of the family's 1533-position model. The record is from RNAcentral.